UUUAACUUAAAAUAAACUAUUCAUGGCUUCUUUGAGAAACACUUAUGAAUGACAAAGAAACAAUGUAUGGCGUCGGCAGUGCUUGUAUUUUUAACGUUUUGUUUUAAUUCUUGUCUCUUCCAUAUUUCUUGCUAAAUUAAUUAAUAUACACAAUUUGUUUUUUAGUUAUUAGUUAUUAAUCUGGAUUAUGUUGAAGUAUUUUUGCUAAUUAUCAAUUAUCUGAACUGUCUUUGAAGUUUCAUGAAUUUUUAGAUUUUUUUUUUAAAAUAUUUUGAAUCUUGGUUCCAGUCAAAUUAUUCCAGAAUGGUAAACUUUUAGUUAUCAUUGAUGAAGUCCCACACCAACACGCAGGUGAAAUCAUACAGUUUCUCCUACAUGCAUUUUAAUGUCUUCAGAUGGAGGAGGUUGGGGCAUCUUAGAAAGACCUUGGACCUUGGUAAAGGUCACCACCUG
RNAcentral lists this long non-coding RNA (453 nucleotides) under Phoenix dactylifera (date palm). RNAcentral describes it as "long non-coding RNA (PDAC_LNC002302)". Lineage: Eukaryota; Viridiplantae; Streptophyta; Magnoliopsida; Arecales; Arecaceae. The record is from RNAcentral.